CCUACGGGAGGCAGCAGUAGGGAAUUUUCGUCAAUGGGCGCAAGCCUGAACGAGCAAUGCCGCGUGAACGAGGAAGGUCUUCGGAUCGUAAAGUUCUGUUGAAGGGGAAAAAGAGCGGAGAGAGGAAAUGGUCUCCGAUUGAUAUUACCCUUCCAGGAAGUCACGGCUAACUACGUGCCAGCAGCCGCGGUAAUACGUAGGUGGCAAGCGUUAUCCGGAAUGAUUGGGCGUAAAGGGUGCGUAGGCGGCCUGUUAAGUCUGUAGUGAAAGGUACCGGCUCAACCGGUACAGGCUCUGGAAACUGGCGGGCUAGAGAGCAGGAGAGGGCGGUGGAACUCCAUGUGUAGCGGUAAAAUGCGUAGAUAUAUGGAAGAACACCAGUGGCGAAGGCGGCCGCCUGGCCUGUUACUGACGCUGAGGCACGAAAGCGUGGGGAGCAAAUAGGAUUAGAUACCCUUGUAGUC
Molecule: ribosomal RNA, 464 nt
Filed under: uncultured bacterium
Lineage: Bacteria
Description: partial 16S ribosomal RNA
Rfam family: Bacterial small subunit ribosomal RNA
Source: RNAcentral